Molecule: ribosomal RNA, 1004 nt
Filed under: uncultured marine bacterium
Lineage: Bacteria
Description: bacterial SSU rRNA
Rfam family: Bacterial small subunit ribosomal RNA
Source: RNAcentral
AUGCAAGUCGAACGAAGUAGCAAUACUUAGUGGCAGACGGGUGAGUAACAUGUAGGUAUCUUCCCUAUGGUGAGGAAUAACACGAGGAAACUUGUGCUAAUACCUCAUAAGUCUUUACGGAGAAAGCUUUAUGCGCCAUUGGAUGAGCCUGCACUUGAUUAGUUUGUUGGUAGGGUAAUGGCCUACCAAGACAAUGAUCAAUAGCUGAUUUGAGAGGAUGAUCAGCCACAUUGGGACUGAGACACGGCCCAAACUCCUACGGGAGGCAGCAGUAGGGAAUCUUGCACAAUGGGGGAAACCCUGAUGCAGCGAUGCCGCGUGAGUGAAGAAGGCCUUUGGGUUGUAAAGCUCUUUCGUCGGGGAAGAAAAUGACUGUACCCGAAUAAGAAGGUCCGGCUAACUUCGUGCCAGCAGCCGCGGUAAUACGAAGGGACCUAGCGUAGUUCGGAAUUACUGGGCUUAAAGAGUUCGUAGGUGGUUAAAAAAGUUGGUGGUGAAAUCCCAGAGCUUAACUCUGGAACUGCCACCAAAACUUUUUAGCUAGAGUAUGAUAGAGGAAAGCAGAAUUUCUAGUGUAGAGGUGAAAUUCGUAGGUAUUAGAAAGAAUACCAAUUGCGAAGGCAGCUUUCUGGAUCAUUACUGACACUGAGGAACGAAAGCAUGGGUAGCGAAGAGGAUUAGAUACCCUCGUAGUCCAUGCCGUAAACGAUGUGUGUUAGACGUUGGAAAUUUAUUUUCAGUGUCGCAGCGAAAGCAAUAAACACACCGCCUGGGGAGUACGACCGCAAGGUUAAAACUCAAAUGAAUUGACGGGGACCCGCACAAGUAGUGGAGCAUGUGGUUUAAUUCGAAGAUACGCGCAGAACCUUACCAACACUUGACAUGUUCGUCGCGACUUUAAGAGAUUAAAGUUUUCGGUUCGGCCGGACGAAACACAGGUGCUGCAUGGCUGUCGUCAGCUCGUGUCGUGAGAUGUUGGGUUAAGUCCCGCAACGAGCGCAACC